CCUACGGGAGGCAGCAGUGGGGAAUAUUGCACAAUGGGGGAAACCCUGAUGCAGCGACGCCGCGUGAGUGAAGAAGUAUUUCGGUACGUAAAGCUCUAUCAGCAGGGAAGAAAAUGACGGUACCUGACUAAGAAGCCCCGGCUAACUACGUGCCAGCAGCCGCGGUAAUACGUAGGGGGCAAGCGUUAUCCGGAUUUACUGGGUGUAAAGGGAGCGUAGACGGCAGCGCAAGUCUGGAGUGAAAUCCCAUGGCUUAACCAUGGAACUGCUUUGGAAACUGUGCAGCUAGAGUGCAGGAGAGGUAAGCGGAAUUCCUAGUGUAGCGGUGAAAUGCGUAGAUAUUAGGAGGAACACCAGUGGUGAAGGCGGCUUACUGGACUGUAACUGACGUUGAGGCUCGAAAGCGUGGGGAGCAAACAGGAUUAGAUACCCCGGUAGUC
Molecule: ribosomal RNA, 440 nt
Filed under: uncultured bacterium
Lineage: Bacteria
Description: partial 16S ribosomal RNA
Rfam family: Bacterial small subunit ribosomal RNA
Source: RNAcentral